AGUGAACGCUGGCGGUAGGCCUAACACAUGCAAGUCGAACGACCGCACAAUAAGAGCUUGCUCCUGCGGGUGGCGAGUGGCGGACGGGUAAGGCGUACAUCGGCAUCUACUAUUUCGGGGAGGAUAACGUAGGGAAAGUGACGCUAAUACAUAAUACAACCUACGGGAUAAAGCAGUAGAUAUAGGGAGUUUGGCCGACAGAAAGAGACGCAGCCGCAUUAGCUAGUUGAGUGGGUAAGGGAACACCAAGCCCACGAUACGUAGCGGAUCUGAGAGGAUGACCAGCCACACUGGAACUGAGACACGGUCCAGACUCCUACGGGAGGCAGCAGUGGGGAAUAUUGCACAAAGGGCGAAAGCCUGACCCAGCCACGCCGCGUGAGUGAUGAAGGUCUUCGGGUUGUAAAGCUCUGUUGUUGGGAAAGAACAGCUGCAUGUUAAUCCCCCGCUGUUCUGACGGUACCCAAAGAAUAAGCACCGGCUAACUUCGUG
RNAcentral lists this ribosomal RNA (492 nucleotides) under uncultured bacterium. Its description in RNAcentral is "partial 16S ribosomal RNA". It matches the Rfam family "Bacterial small subunit ribosomal RNA", at positions 29 to 507 of the family's 1533-position model. The record is from RNAcentral.